RNAcentral lists this ribosomal RNA (253 nucleotides) under uncultured bacterium. RNAcentral's name for it is "partial 16S ribosomal RNA". It matches the Rfam family "Bacterial small subunit ribosomal RNA", at positions 524 to 776 of the family's 1533-position model. The record is from RNAcentral.
UACGGGGGGAGCAAGCGUUGUUCGGAUUUACUGGGCGUAAAGGGCGCGUAGGCGGCGUGACAAGUCACUUGUGAAAUCUCUGGGCUUAACCCAGAACGGCCAAGUGAUACUGUCGUGCUAGAGUGCGGAAGGGGCAAUCGGAAUUCUCGGUGUAGCGGUGAAAUGCGUAGAUAUCGAGAGGAACACCUGAGGUGAAGACGGGUUGCUGGGCCGACACUGACGCUGAGGCGCGAAAGCGUGGGGAGCAAACAGG